GAUGAACGCUGGCGGCGUGCCUAAUACAUGCAAGUCGAGCGAACAGACGAGGAGCUUGCUCCUCUGACGUUAGCGGCGGACGGGUGAGUAACACGUAGAUAACCUACCUAUAAGACUGGGAUAACUUCGGGAAACCGGAGCUAAUACCGGAUAACAUGUUGAACCGCAUGGUUUAACAGUGAAAGACGGUCUUGCUGUCACUUAUAGAUGGAUCCGCGCCGCAUUAGCUAGUUGGUAAGGUAACGGCUUACCAAGGCAACGAUGCGUAGCCGACCUGAGAGGGUGAUCGGCCACACUGGAACUGAGACGCGGUCCAGACUCCUACGGGAGGCAGCAGUAGGGAAUCUUCCGCAAUGGGCGAAAUCCUGACGGAGCAACGCCGCGUGAGUGAAGAAGGUCUUCGGAUCGUAAAACUCUGUUAUUAGGGAAGAACAAAUGUGUAAGUAACUAUGCACGUCUUGACGGUACCUAAUCAGAAAGCCACGGCUAACUACGUG
Molecule: ribosomal RNA, 497 nt
Filed under: uncultured bacterium
Lineage: Bacteria
Description: partial 16S ribosomal RNA
Rfam family: Bacterial small subunit ribosomal RNA
Source: RNAcentral